RNAcentral lists this ribosomal RNA (392 nucleotides) under Gammarus fossarum. Its description in RNAcentral is "partial 16S ribosomal RNA". It matches the Rfam family "Bacterial large subunit ribosomal RNA", at positions 1918 to 2565 of the family's 2925-position model. The record is from RNAcentral. Lineage: Eukaryota; Metazoa; Arthropoda; Malacostraca; Amphipoda; Gammaridae.
AUAUAUUUAACGGCUGCGGUAUUCUGACUGUGCUAAGGUAGCGUAAUCAAUUGUUUUUUAAUUGAAAACUUGAAUGAAAGGUUAAACAAAUUACCUUAGUUUGUGCAGCUUAGUUAGUAAAUUAAAGUCAAGGUAAGAAUUCUUUGAUUUUCUAGGGGACGAUAAGACCCUAGAAGCUUUAAAAAAGAAAAAUUUUUAGUAGUUAUAUAGAUUUUUUACUGGGGCGGUAUUAGUGUUUUAACUACUAAAAAUAGAGGUCGAUCCUUUAGAUAAAGAUAAUUCGGUGAAGUUACUUUAGGGAUAACAGUGCGGUAUUCUUGGAAAGGUCUUAUUAAUAAGAAUGUUCGCAACCUCGAUGUUGAAUUAAGAUGUCUACGUGGAGCAGUAAAUAC